This 352-nucleotide unclassified non-coding RNA is filed under the name uncultured fungus. RNAcentral's name for it is "partial contains small subunit ribosomal RNA, internal transcribed spacer 1, and 5.8S ribosomal RNA". The stretch from base 1 to 73 matches the Rfam family "Eukaryotic small subunit ribosomal RNA", at positions 1759 to 1831 of the family's 1831-position model. Lineage: Eukaryota; Fungi. The record is from RNAcentral.
GCAAACUUGGUCAUUUAGAGGAAGUAAAAGUCGUAACAAGGUUUCCGUAGGUGAACCUGCGGAAGGAUCAUUAAAGCGAGAGUCUAACAGUGCGCUGGAGGACUCUCAAUAGAAACGGGUGUGAACAGCCGCAAGUUAACUUGACCAAAGGUGCCAUCGCGCGCUCCUUGGUUUUUCGGCUGUUCGCAUGUCUGAAUCCGUGUCUUGUGUACCAACUGUUUCCUCGGCGGGCUCGCUCGCCAAUGGGGACUAACUCAAACGCUUUGUUGUAGUAGUACUGUCUGAAUAUAAAAAAACUAUUAAAACUUUCAACAACGGAUCUCUUGGUUCUGGCAUCGAUGAAGAACGCAGC